This is a long non-coding RNA of Felis catus (domestic cat), 1846 nucleotides long. RefSeq lists it as uncharacterized. The transcript has 4 exons. The record is from RefSeq and is a predicted model, not a curated record. NCBI's taxonomy places the organism in Eukaryota, Metazoa, Chordata, Mammalia, Carnivora, Felidae.
CUGUGAGAUCAUGACCUCAGCCGAAAGUUGGACGCUUAACCGAUUGAGCCAGCCAGGCGCCCCUCUGUGGGGUUAUUUUUUAACACUUCCUAUCUCUGUUGGGAACCCCAAUCUUGUCUUUCACGUGGAGUUUUUCCUUUGGCCUCACAGAGUGUGAUGAUAGAAGCUGCUGGAAGUCUGAUCAUUUCUGCGUUUGGGCUGUCUAGAGGCUGGCCUUUGUCCACUGUCUUUCUUCUAGAGAUUUGUUCACUUCCCUUGGUGUUUCUGGCUGUGUCCUCCCCAUGGGGAGUGUCACGUUCCUCAGACUCUCCGUGCAGGGUCCCAUUAUCAUCUCCUGGAGAAUGCUGAUGCUUUUGUUUGCUUCCUUCCCUGAGCGGGAUUUCGGCUUGGUUUUCAGUCACAAAUUCUGUUUCACCGUCUGCGGCCCGUGGUUCUAAUCUCGGCUCUGCGUUCAAAGCUUUGCUGUGCUGCCUUGGGUCUGUCCUACUCUGUGCCUCCCGGCUGAGCCUGGGACUUAUGAAGCUUCGUGCUCAGAAGCAGGCAGCCUUUCUCUGGGGUCGCCCACCAGCUCUGGCCUGCAGACGUCCCUUCCCUGGUGGCUUCUUAUACAGCCGUAGCUGUAGCUCCUGGCCGGGGCCAUGCCUCUGGGCAAAGCUCAGAGCUAAGAGAAUGAAAGAAAACAGGCAUUUCCCGCUGAUGCUCUUAGCUUGAGGGGCAAAUUCUCUCCGUUCCUCUGGCCUGAAAGCCAGUUUUGCCUCUUCUGUGCUUGGGGCAACACUGAGAGAGGCCAGAGGAAUCAUUGCACCAGGAAACACUCCAUCAUGGGCAACUUUUCCAUGCGGUGGCUCCCCUCUACCUGACCCAGUUGUAGUUACUACACCUGUUAGUUGUGGUCAACAUGGCAGGUAGAGGAGCUCGGGAAAUCUCCCUCUGUCGAAGUCAGAAGUGGCAUCCCACUUGUUAAUUUCCAAGACUGUACUGUUACUUCCUCCUACUGGUUUCAGAGUUAUUCGUUAGUCAUUUUGCAAUGCUCCCUAGAAACUACAAAGGUCUUCGUAAUCAAUAGACUUCUAAUAUUGGUUGAUACUUUUAUCCUACUUCUGUGCAAUGAAAGCACAUUCAGAAAGUUUACUUAUAUUUGUGCCCCCCCCCCCCCCGAUUUCUGGGCUGUUGUUGUUAUUAUGUCUUAAUUCUGUCUGUAGAUUCCGAGUUCCAGAACAUGUUAGUGUUCUUGUUUUAAUAUAGUUAGUAUUCCUUUGGAUAUAGUCUCACAAUUCUUCUGAUUUCUUCCAUCCUUCAAUUUUCCAUCGGCAGCCUUCUCAUACCAGUGUCUACCAGGUUUUCGAAAACCCACCUGGAGGUGUAGCUGUUGGAGACACCUGUAGUUAUUUCUGAUGCAGUCUAUUCGUUCAGACUUGUUACUUAUCAGAUAAAUUCCAGGCUUCGUGCAGCAGCCCUGCUGACCUCUGACCUGACUCGUCUCUGUGCAACGAUCCUCUGUAGCUGUUGACCGCCGUGGGUUACAUCCUCGCAUCACCUCACUUGUGUAGAGGCCCUCGGGGCCGUUCCCUGCCUCUGACAGCUUUGGGCAGGGACCAGAUCUCGCUCAUGCCUCUGAUACCUGUUCCUGAACCCAGGUGUGGAAUGAUGCUUAAAAGUACGUAUUAGCUGGAGCCAUGACGGAGCAGCAAUUAUCAAGAUUGGCAAGAGCGCAAGCAUCAGUUCAAGUCGAAAACAAUUUUAGGGGCCAAAAAUAGGUCGUGUUUUGUUGAGAUGCAGGAAAUAAUUUUCAUUAAUUUUAGUUUGAGGGCUUAAAAAAAAUAAAGCCUGUGUAAACACUUCUGAU